CUAGAUGAAGAAAAUAUCAAUAUUCUAUUUGGUUGGAUCUAGUAGGCUUAUGGUACUGUAUUAUGGAUAUAGUGCUGAGCACUCAAAAAGAUGUCACAACAGAUUACUGAAUCAUAUUUGCUAUAUAACCAGCACCUUCAGCACCAAGGGAGUUAUCAGCAAGCUUUAGUGAUAUGACAUAUGUGUUUGUCUAUAGCAAAAAAUAAAAGAGGAUGUCCGUACACUUAGUGAAUGUCAACAAAUAUAAUUCACGUGGCA
Xenia sp. Carnegie-2017 is the source of this 258-nucleotide long non-coding RNA. RefSeq lists it as uncharacterized. The transcript has 2 exons. NCBI's taxonomy places the organism in Eukaryota, Metazoa, Cnidaria, Anthozoa, Malacalcyonacea, Xeniidae. The record is from RefSeq and is a predicted model, not a curated record.